GGAACUGCAAGUAGACAGAUCUUUUGAGCCCACCGAAUUUUGGAGGGGAAUGGAAAUUCUUAGUGGACUUAGGCAUCCACAUUUGGUACGGUUUCUUGGUGCCAACACACGCAAUGUCGCAGAAGGCACCUUAGGAAUAGUUACAGAAUAUAUCCCUGGUGGCAAUUUGUUUGAUUAUCUCCAAAGAAAUCAUGAAAACUUGACUCUGUCUCAGAGGUUGAAGAUAGCACUUCAA
Non-coding RNA from Camelina sativa (false flax), 235 nucleotides. The record is from RefSeq and is a predicted model, not a curated record. Lineage: Eukaryota; Viridiplantae; Streptophyta; Magnoliopsida; Brassicales; Brassicaceae.